GUGCAUUUGUUUUGCCUGCUGUCCUGAGAUCUGGUCCACAGCAAGAGGUGUGUGUCUCCUCCAAGGGUCUUUCUAUAUAGCCUAGGCUAGCCUUGAACUCACCAUGUGGCACAGGAUGACCUUCAAUUCACAGGAUCUUUCUGCCUCAGCCUCUCAAAUGCUGAGAUUCCAUGCAUGCACCACCACGCCUGGCUUUACUGUCAAUCUUAUCAUUGUGGUGUAUGGUUGAUAGUAUCAAUACUGCUAGGAUUAUUUCCAAAAGAUGAAAAAUAUUUCCAAAAGAUGAGAAGUAUAAAAUAAACAGCGGCCUUUAUUCUGAGAGAGAUGACCGGCACCCCCACUGCUGGCAUUCGGCGAUCUCUCCAGCGGACACGUGGCGUGGGGAUAUUACCAGGGAUCAAACUCAUGACUGUCUGCUUACAAGGUAGGCACUUAUGCCACUGAGCUAAAUCCCCAGCCCCUUGACACUCAAUCUUGAAGUGGUGCUAAAGAAAUGCUAAGAGACAAGAAGUAGAAAGGCCUUUAAUGUGGGCAAGGGAAAGCUGCAAAUGGGUGCAGGAGCUCUCAGAGAGGACAAGGAAGUGAAGCUAUUUUAAUCUGGUCUGGCUGGGGAGGAGUUUGGGAGGUGGGUCAAAUGACACAUUAAAGGUGGAUUUGAAGGAGCAUCUGCCUCUGCAAAACAGGACCCAGAAAGAUUUGCUGGGGGGUAGGGGUGGAGUGCUGGGGUGGUUGUGGAGUUUUGAGAUUAGAGAGGGCUCAGUGAAUGCAUGAGUGAAAAGGGAGUGGGAGGUUUGUCUCUGGAAUGAGAAGGAGAAGGUAGAAAUUAUUCCUGGAGAAAUAUGUUGCUUUUCUGGGUUCGUACCAAGUUGGGCAGAUGUCAUGUUACAGAUAGCUGAGCCCAGGCUAGCAGAAUCUAUCAAUAAUUUGAUGUACAUAUACAACAUGUAACGAUCAAGUCAGGGUACUUAUAAUUUCCAUCUUCUUAAACAUUUUUAAAAAAUUGAAAAAAGCCAGGUGUGGUGGCUCACGCCUGUAAUCCCAGCACUCAAGAGACUGAGGUAGGAUAGUUGCAAGUUCAAGACCAGCCUUGGCUACAAAGUGAGUUGAAGGCCAGCUUGGACUGAAUAGUGAGACCCUGUCUCAGAAAGAUAAAUAAAUAAAUAUAUGAAUAAGUUGAAAAUUAACAUGCAAUAAUUGUACAUAAAUUGCUGUAUUGUACGGCCAAUCCACUCAUUUCACUUUCUGCCAAAUACAUUGAUGUACAUGGAAAGAACAAAUCUUACUGGUAACACCUUGAAAUUCACUUAAAGGAAUUUUGACCACAGCUAACUGCAAACUGUCAUGGUUUGAGGAUUUAGGUGAAAUUCAUUUUCUUUGGUGAAGUCCACCACCUGUUCGAGUAAGAAUUUAUAGAAGUGCUUUGUUUUAUCCAAGCAUUAAUAUAGAAAUAAGCAGAUAGGUUUACAAUUUUCAGAUUCAGCAGGGCAUGAAAUAUAUAUAUAUGUCUGUGCAUAUAUAAAUAAAUAUAUAUAUAUAUAUAUUUAAUUUAAAAAACUCACUGGGAAUGGUUUUGAAUGUACCAUACAUUGUUAGUUAAACAAUGCAUGUUCCCAUUUUUCUUUUAAAUUUGGUAGUAAGAAUAAGAAGUCAGGGCAGGGGAUUUAGCUCAGUGGUGUAAGCACCUGCUUGGCAAGCAUCAGGUCGUGAGUUCAAUCCCUGUUACCAAAAAAAAAAAAAAAGAAUAAGAAGUCUAUCUUCUUUGACAUGGGGUUUUAAAAUCCCGGAGCAACUUCUAAUCAGCACAUACCUUUGGCUCAGAAGGUUACUGAGCUUGUCAUAUUAAAAAAAAUAUUUUUUGAUAAAGAGGAUUUUUGAAGGUGAGCAGGUGCUGUUUCUGACAGGGCACAAGUAGCACAUAAUUGUCAACUAUUCUUUACAAAACCAAAAGAAGGCUAAUUCCUUUCCCAGAGUUAGACCUCUACGCCUCUUCUAUAGCCUUUUACAAUUUUUUCCAGUGAGAAUUGCAAUGUUUGGGAAUUUCAGCUUUCAGAAUUUAAAUUCUGUGAUUAUGAAAUUUGGAGUUUUGAUCUUUUGUAUGCAUGCCUACACGCACCAAAGCUUUUGUACUGAGCUGCACCUCCAGCCUUCCCUUUCCUUUAAAAAAAUUUUUUUGAGGCAGCGGUUUGCUAAAUUGACCAGGCUGACCUUGAACUUGAGAUCCUUCUGCCUCAGUGUCCUCACUUGCUGGGAUUCCAAGUAAGUGCUACCACGCCUGGCUAGGAUUUUGAUCUUCAGUAAUAUAAACAUUUAGGAUCAUGGCAUUUGGAAUUUUGUCUUUUGGAUUUUUUUUUGAGAUAGGGUCUCAAUAGUAGCUCAGGGCGGCCUCAAAUUUGAGGUAAUUCUCCUGCCUGAGCCCGUGACUACUGGGAUUAUAGGAAUGUACCACCGUGCCCACCAGUUUUUUUUUUUUUUUAAAUUUAAUGCAUUUUGAGGGCAAAUUUAAAGGAACAGCACAGAAGACUGACAUUAGGAAAGUAUUUAGGUGGCACAUUCCUGUGACCCCAGCACUCAGGAGGCUGAGGGAGGAGAAUUGUCUCAAGUUUUAAGCCAGUCUGAGCUACAAAGGAAGUUCAAGGCCAGCCUGAACUGCAUAGUGAGACCCUGUUUCAAAGACAGACAGACAGACACACACACACACACACACACACACAGAAUGUGUUUGCAUGUGAAACAACUCAGAAAGCAUGGUAAAUGAACAUAAAUGCUUUGGUUGCUGUUGGUAAGGAUUUUAUUUAUCUUUAAAAAUCUAAAUGCUGUCUAGAAAAAAUUGAGUAUUUUAUUUAUAGUUGUUAUAAAGUUAAAAAAAAAUAAAACCAGCUAGGCAUGGUGGCACAUCCCUGUAAUCCUAGCACUUGGGAGGCUGAGGCAGGUGGAUUGUUGCAAGUUCGAGGCCAGCCUGGGCUACAAAGUGAGCUCAAGCCAGCCUGAACUGCAUAGAGGGAUCCUGUUUCCGUCUCAAAAAGAAAAAAAAAAAAAAAAAAAAAAAAAACCAAAACCAAAACCAAAACCCAAAACAAAAAAACACCAAACAAACUAAGGCCAAUCAAAACAAAAUAGAGUGAUAAAGGACUUCAAAACAAGAUAGAAAAAUCAGUGAUGGCUACCAUGAUGCCUCUUGUUAUCUUCAAAAUAGCUGCCCAUACCAUCAGACAUCAUAAAAUCAAACAAAAUAGAACAGAAUAAAACCAAUCAAAACAAAACAAUGAAAGUGAUACUGGACUUCCAAGCAAGAUAAAAGGAAAUCAAUAAUGGUUAUUAUAAUAUAUCUUGUUAUGUUUGAAAUAGCUGCUCAUGCCAUCAGGUAUAACAAAACCAAACAAGACAGCAGAAUAAAACCAAGCAAAACAAUGAAAACAAUACAGGACUUUAAAACAAGAUAAUAGAGAACAAUGGCUACCACCUUCAGAAAGAAGUUCUCCGUAGUUGCUAUACUGCAUAUUGUUAUCCUGAAAUAGAUGCUUAAGUCACUGGCCUUAAGCCUGCAGAACCAAUCAAAUACUAAACACUCCAAGCAUUAAAGUUUUGUCCUACCUCAGUAGCUGUCAUUCCAGUCUGUUCUCUGGAUCAGCUGGUUGCGUACCGGGAUGGGGGUGGCGCUCUUCUUGUCUCCCAGCCUACCUGGGCACACACCGCUGGCUCAUAGAAGGCUUGGCUUCUUGCUUCUCCUCCCUGUGGCCUGUAGCUACUGCCGGGAAGGGGUUGGCUUCUUUGUUCCUCUACUCUCAAUCAGAUCAUUAGUUACUUUUUGAGGGGGAGAUAUUUCUAGCCUCAUAAAUCCAAUGAAAAGUAGAACUAGAUUAAUAAAGAACACUAAAAGUGGAACUUUUCCCUAAAUAUAGCUUCAAAUUCUCCUAGCAAUUUCAGACCCCCCCUUCGAGACUUUUUUCCCUCUCUGAAUUGUGGAACCAAUCAGACUGUAGAUUGAGCAAUGAAAGGUUUAUUCUUGUCCAAAGAAUAAAAGCAAGAUAUUUCCAUUAAAAGAAGGAGAGUUAAGGGUGCCUGUUGGGGACCACAAGUUCACAAUGGCUAAUUUUGCAUAUUUCCCUAUGGGAUAAAAGGAAGGAUUGGGAUUAUUGGUCUGAGAUUUCCCAUUGACUCUUCUAAGUGUAAGAUCAUCUUCGCCUUCUUGAGUCAUCUCAGGAUUAUACUCCCAUCAAAAUACUUGUGAGCAUAAGAUUAUCUAGGCCCUCUUGAGUCUGAGUCUUCUGAUGUAUUAUAAUCCUUCACUAGCCUGACCUGUUACUGUAUACACCUAAUAAAUAGUGGCUGCUUUGGGAGUGGAGAGUCCCAUCCAGAGACAUUGACUUCCCAGCCAUUGUUGAAAUCCUAUACUUGUCUCUGUUUUUCAUUUUUCUUACCAAUUCUUGAGACUGACAAUCGGGACUCUUGGCCAGGUUCUCAUAGGUGCCUGUUAACUGCUGUGGAAAUAACUGAAGAGCAACUGAAUGAAAAGGCAGGCGAAGGCUGUUUGCUGGGAGCUUGUGCAGCUUGCAAGGUGGCCACUGUCUCUUGGGUCUUGGCAGUGACUUUAGGGCAGCAGAGGACUGAUGGAACCCCAGGGUGUCACAGAGGCUGAGGCUCAGGGACACUCAGAUUGUCCGGUUUGUCCUGUGUUGGAAGCAGGGACCAAAAUUAGGGAAGCUGUCAAUUUGUCACCAAGUCCUGGCCACUUCCCCCAGUGGUACAGCAUUAUCAGUUGGCUGCCUGGACGGACGGUCACUAGAGAUAGCAACUUGGCUUCUUGUAAGUCUGAUUUAAAGCAGGGUGGCAUCCUGGGUUAUUUGUUGUAGAAAGAGCUACGUCUCCUGGGUGGGCUGCUGCACUUCAUUAACCAGUGGUGGCUCAUGUCUGUGGUCUCAGCACUCUGGGAUGUUGAGGCUUGAACUGAGUUUGAACAAUAUAACAAUUUAGGGAGGACUUGUUUCAAAAUGAAAAAUAGUAAAAAAGAAAGUAAAAUUUUAAAAAAGUCACACAAGAGAAGCUGGUUAUGUAGCUCAGUACAAAGGCCCUGCGUUCAAUCCCUAGCACUGGGAGUGGAAAUUAUAGUAAAAUAAAUUGUUUAAAUGAGGAGGGAGUUGGACAUGGUAGCACACACCUGUAAUCCCAGCAGUCAGGAGGCUUAGGUGAGAGAAUUGCUGAGUUUGAGGCCAACCUGGGCUAUAGAUUGAGUUCAAGGCCUGUUUGAACUGCAUAGUGAAACCUUGUCUCAAAAAAAAAAAGAAUUAAAAAAUUCUGAGGGAAAAUAGAUAAUGGAAUUGUUCAGCUAAACUAUUUGAAUCAAUAAAAUACUAGUUCAGGAGAAACUACUAUAAUAUUCUUGCAAUAAUUAGGUAGACAGAGUGUAGGAAAAAAGAUCCUAUUCAUCACCACAAAACAUCAAAUAUAUAGGCAUUGUUCCUUUUUUUGUUGUUUGUUUAUUUUUUGAGAUAGGGUCUAACUAUGUAGCCCAGGCUGGCCUUGAAUUCACAGUAAUCUUCUUGCCUCAGCCUCCCAAAUGCUGGGAUUACAGGCAUGUGCUACCAUGCCUAGCUGUAUUAAAUUCCAAAAUGAGGUCUGAAGACAUAGCUCAGCAGCAUAAGCACCUGCCUGGCAAGAGUGAAGUCCUGAGUUUGAUUCUUGGUACAAAAAAAAAAAUUCAAAGUGGGAGUUAAGAGAUGGUUCAGUUGUAGAGAUCUUGUUUAGCAUACAUGAGGUCUUGGGAUUUAGCCCCAAUUUAAUACCACAAUUUAGUGGUAUUAAAUUUAGUACCACAAUUUAAUACCCAUGAAUGCAAUAAAAUCUAGAUCUAGUGGAAAAAAAUGAUAGAAAGUGUUGUAAACCUAUCAAAGGUAACUCUAAGAGCAGAUGUUUGCCUAAUCUAAACUUGCUUGUUAGCCCACCUGCACCUUGUUCUUCCCAAGAAAUGUAACCACCGCCUUCCUGUAGUGCGCGGCAAACUCCAUCCCCUUGCUUUGUGAAGCCCAGCAGCUGUUUGUCGUUUUACAGGAUAAAAACCCUGCCCUUUAGCUGUUAGGCGUGCAGUCUUCCAAAUUGGCUACUGGAGGCUGCGUCGCCAGGCCUGUGCUUUAAUAAAUAAUUUUUGUUUCCAAAUUAUUUUCUUUGGCUCCUUCAUACCUCAGGAAGUGGGGGGCCACCACAGAAGGUAUGUUACAUUUUUUCUUACUAAAUUCCUGUAGGGAGCCGCGAGACAGCCCCAUUGCUGCCUCCCUGCCUCUCUCUCUCCUAUGGGCACUGCGUCUGCCUACAUUAACCAUAAUCCUCUCCUGCUUACAUCACAUACCCGGACGUGAGGAUGACCCUGUUGUAUUCACCCCGUAGCCUCUUCCUGUCCCAUCUCCCGCCCUUGGCCUAUAAAAGAUGUAAUCACUUCCGGAAUAAAACUUGCCUCAGUCUCUCUCUGUCUCCCCCAUGUUUUUAUUUUAAUCCCCGUUCCUCCUCCAGGUACACCCCACGGAUUGAUCCGCAGGCUGGAUCAAAUUCCUUUUCAUAUAUAUGUUUUGGGGCUAGAAGUUUGAAGCAGCUUUGAGGGGCCUAAAGUUGGAGUGUCAGUAGGACCAUGUCCUUGAGCACCCGCCAUUGCCUAUCUUCCCAGCCAAGAGACCCCCACUCACAUCUCAAGCUGGUCAUAACUGGUCGUUGGUCUAUUCAUGUUUUUGGGUCUCCAGAGCAACAUGUGAACUGAAGCCAACUCUGAAGGAGAAGGAAUGGGUCAAAGACACAGAGAGCUGAUGAGACAAGACCUGUGUUUAGAGGCUAGCUUUGGAAUUAAAAAAAAAAAAGAAGAAAAGCGAGGAAUUAA
Long non-coding RNA from Cavia porcellus (domestic guinea pig), 6859 nucleotides. RefSeq lists it as uncharacterized. The record is from RefSeq and is a predicted model, not a curated record. The transcript is spliced from 5 exons. NCBI's taxonomy places the organism in Eukaryota, Metazoa, Chordata, Mammalia, Rodentia, Caviidae.